GAUGAACGCUGGCGGCGUGCCUAAUACAUGCAAGUCGAGCGAAUGGACGAGAAGCUUAGUUCCCUGCUGUUAGGGGCGGACGGGGGAGUAACACGUGGAUAACCUAUCUAAAAUACAGGGAUAUCCUCGGGAAACCGGAUCUAAUACCGGAUGAUAUUUUGAGCCGCAGGGUGCACACGUGUAAGACGGUCUUGCUGUCGCUGAUAGAUGCAUCCGCGCUGCAUUAGCUAGUUGGUAAGGUGACGGCUUACCAAGGCAGCGAUGCAUAGCCGACCCGAGAGGGUCGUCGGCCAGCCUGGAUGUGAGACUCGUCCCCGACUCCUACGGUAGGCCGCGGUAGGGACUCUUACGCGAUGCGGGAGAGCCUGACGGAGCAACGCCGCGUGAGUGAUGAAGGUCUUCGGAUCGUAGAGCUCUGUUGUUAGUGAAGAACAUAUGUGUAAGUACCUGUGAACAUAAUGACGGUACCUAAUCAGAAAGCCACGGCUAACUACGUG
Molecule: ribosomal RNA, 497 nt
Filed under: uncultured bacterium
Lineage: Bacteria
Description: partial 16S ribosomal RNA
Rfam family: Bacterial small subunit ribosomal RNA
Source: RNAcentral